CAGAACAGGAUGGACCCAUCAUCCAAUAUUUGGUUCCCACCCGAAAUACGGUUUGGAUGUCAAGACUGAUGAUGUCAUGCAUGCACCGAGAGUUUUUGUGUUUAGAUUUGCUAUCACAGAAUCCAUGUUUUUAACGUCCAGGAGAGAACAACAAGUUGAAUGACCCACGUGCUUCCUACCAGACCACCUGUAUUUCCACUUGGAAAUUCACACACUGUUUCCUCUCAGAAGAGUUUAUCAGUAGGCAGAAGAGGACAGGCCAUGUGGGCAUACAGGAGGAAGGUGUCAGGAAGACAACUCUCACCAAGAACUGAAUUUGCAGGAACCUUGAUCUUGGACUUCCAGCUUCCAGAACUGUGAGCAAAUAAGUGUCCAUUGUUUAAGCCAUCCAGUCUGUGGUAUUAUUUUUGGCUGCCUGA
Long non-coding RNA from Orcinus orca (killer whale), 419 nucleotides. RefSeq lists it as uncharacterized. The record is from RefSeq and is a predicted model, not a curated record. NCBI's taxonomy places the organism in Eukaryota, Metazoa, Chordata, Mammalia, Artiodactyla, Delphinidae. The transcript has 4 exons.